GACGAGCGCUGGCGGCGUGCUUAACACAUGCAAGUCGAACGGAAAGGCCCUGCUUUUGUGGGGUGCUCGAGUGGCGAACGGGUGAGUAACACGUGAGUAACCUGCCCUUGACUUUGGGAUAACUUCAGGAAACUGGGGCUAAUACAGGACAGGAGCUCAUGCUGCAUGGUGGGGGUUGGAAAGUUUCGGCGGUUGGGGAUGGACUCGCGGCUUAUCAGCUUGUUGGUGGGGUAGUGGCUUACCAAGGCUUUGACGGGUAGCCGGCCUGAGAGGGUGACCCGCCACAUUGGGACUGAGAUACGGCCCAGACUCCUUCGGGAGGCAGCAGUGGGAAAUAUUGCACAAUGGGCGGAAGCCUGAUGCAGCAACGCCGCGUGCGGGAUGACGGCCUUCGGGUUGUAAACCGCUUUCGCCUGUGACGAAGCGUGAGUGACGGUACUGGGUAAAGAAGCACCGGCUAACUACGU
This 467-nucleotide ribosomal RNA is filed under the name uncultured bacterium. RNAcentral describes it as "partial 16S ribosomal RNA". It matches the Rfam family "Bacterial small subunit ribosomal RNA", at positions 28 to 506 of the family's 1533-position model. The record is from RNAcentral.